AGAAUCAACGCUGGCGGCGUGCCUCAGACAUGCAAGUCGAACGCGAAAGUUCCCUUCGGGGAGCGAGUAGAGUGGCGCACGGGUGAGUAACACGUAGGUAAUCUACCUUUGGGUGGGAAUAACAGCCGGAAACGGCUGCUAAUACCGCAUAAUGCAGCGGCUCGACAUCGAGACAGUUGUUAAAGCGGGGGAUCGCAAGACCUCGCGCCUAAAGAGGAGCCUGCGGCGGAUUAGCUAGUUGGUGGGGUAAUGGCUCACCAAGGCAUCGAUCCGUA
RNAcentral lists this ribosomal RNA (275 nucleotides) under uncultured soil bacterium. RNAcentral's name for it is "partial 16S ribosomal RNA". It matches the Rfam family "Bacterial small subunit ribosomal RNA", at positions 26 to 285 of the family's 1533-position model. The record is from RNAcentral.